UGGGGAAUUUUGGACAAUGGGCGAAGGCCUGAUCCAGCAAUGCCGCGUGUGUGAAGAAGGCCUUCGGGUUGUAAAGCACUUUUGUCCGGAAAGAAAUCCUUGGCUCUAAUACAGUCGGGGGAUGACGGUACCGGAAGAAUAAGCACCGGCUAACUACGUGCCAGCAGCCGCGGUAAUACGUAGGGUGCAAGCGUUAAUCGGAAUUACUGGGCGUAAAGCGUGCGCAGGCGGUUUGCUAAGACCGAUGUGAAAUCCCCGGGCUCAACCUGGGAACUGCAUUGGUGACUGGCAGGCUAGAGUAUGGCAGAGGGGGGUAGAAUUCCACGUGUAGCAGUGAAAUGCGUAGAGAUGUGGAGGAAUACCGAUGGCGAAGGCAGCCCCCUGGGCCAAUACUGACGCUCAUGCACGAAAGCGUGGGGAGCAAACAGGAUUAGAUACCCUGGUAGUCCACGCCCUAAACGAUGUCAACUAGUUGUUGGGGAUUCAUUUCCUUAGUAACGUAGCUAACGCGUGAAGUUGACCGCCUGGGGAGUACGGUCGCAAGAUUAAAACUUAAAGGAAUUGACGGGGU
Molecule: ribosomal RNA, 571 nt
Filed under: uncultured bacterium
Lineage: Bacteria
Description: partial 16S ribosomal RNA
Rfam family: Bacterial small subunit ribosomal RNA
Source: RNAcentral